GCUCAAAUUUAAAAUCUGGCGGUCUCUGGCCGUCCGAGUUGUAAUUUAGAGAAGCGUCUUCCGCGCCGGACCGUGCACAAAGUCUCCUGGAAUGGAGCGUCAUAGAGGGUGAGAAUCCCGUCUUUGGCACGGAUGCCUGUGCUUCUGCGAUGCGCUCUCGAAGAGUCGAGUUGUUUGGGAAUGCAGCUCAAAAUGGGUGGUGAACUCCAUCUAAAGCUAAAUAUUGGCGAGAGACCGAUAGCGAACAAGUNCCGUGAGGGAAAGAUGAAAAGCACUUUGGAAAGAGAGUGAAACAGUACGUGAAAUUGUUGAAAGGGAAACGCUUGAAGUCAGUCGCGUCGUCCGAGACUCAGCCUCGCCUCGGCUUGGCGUACUUCUCGGCCCGACGGGUCAGCAUCAAUUUCGCCUCUCGGAUAAUGGCGAGGGAAAAGUGACACCUUUACGGUGUGUUAUAGUCUCUCGUCGCAUGCGAGGGUCGGGAUUGAGGAACUCAGCACGCGCCCUCGGGCGUCGGGGCUUUCGCCCACGAUACGUGCUUAGGAUGUUGGCGUAAUGGCUUUAAACGACC
RNAcentral lists this ribosomal RNA (568 nucleotides) under uncultured Russulaceae. Its description in RNAcentral is "LSU rRNA". It matches the Rfam family "Eukaryotic large subunit ribosomal RNA", at positions 107 to 649 of the family's 3401-position model. The record is from RNAcentral. Lineage: Eukaryota; Fungi; Basidiomycota; Agaricomycetes; Russulales; Russulaceae.